Molecule: ribosomal RNA, 497 nt
Filed under: uncultured bacterium
Lineage: Bacteria
Description: partial 16S ribosomal RNA
Rfam family: Bacterial small subunit ribosomal RNA
Source: RNAcentral
GAUGAACGCUGGCGGCGUGCCUAAUACAUGCAAGUCGAGCGAACAGACGAGGAGCUUGCUCCUCUGACGUUAGCGGCGGACGGGUGAGUAACACGUGGAUAACCUACCUAUAAGACUGGGAUAACUUCGGGAAACCGGAGCUAAUACCGGAUAAUAUAUUGAACCGCAUGGUUCAAUAGUGAAAGACGGUUUUGCUGUCACUUAUAGAUGGAUCCGCGCCGCAUUAGCUAGUUGGUAAGGUAACGGCUUACCAAGGCAACGAUGCGUAGCCGACCUGAGAGGGUGGUCGGCCACACUGGAACUGGGACACGGUCCAGAGUCCUACGGGAGGCAGCAGUAGGGAAUCUUCCGCAAUGGGCGAAAGCCUGACGGAGCAACGCCGCGUGAGUGAUGAAGGUCUUCGGAUCGUAAAACUCUGUUAUUAGGGAAGAACAAAUGUGUAAGUAACUAUGCACGUCUUGACGGUACCUAAUCAGAAAGCCACGGCUAACUACGUG